Molecule: non-coding RNA, 367 nt
Organism: Pelodiscus sinensis (Chinese soft-shelled turtle)
Lineage: Eukaryota; Metazoa; Chordata; Testudines; Trionychidae
Source: RefSeq, a predicted model, not a curated record
CUUUGGGAUGCUGAAGAAAAGGAAAAACUAAUAAACCUUGGGACAGGCAUUCAAGCUCUUUCCUGUGGUCUAUACCUGGCAUCCAGGCUGGAUUCUGGAUAGAAGGACUUCAGCCUUAAGAGGGCACCUCAACCACCACCAUGAAAGGGACAAUUCUCCAAACAAGCCUUGGAUCUAUAGACCCCUGGGCUGCCUUCCACCAGUAAGACUUGCACAGAUUCUGAAGAGAUCAGCUAUUUUCUCUGUCUUUUCUCUGAUUGAUUAUAACAACAGAAUCCAGAUUAUCCAGUUAAUAAAUGAAUGACAUCAGGGAACAAAAUAGCCAUUCUAUCCUUUUCGUAAGUAGGUAGCAAAACUGCCAAUCUGU